RNAcentral lists this long non-coding RNA (537 nucleotides) under Chrysolophus pictus (golden pheasant). Its description in RNAcentral is "lncRNA (ENSCPIG00010014723.1)". The record is from RNAcentral. Lineage: Eukaryota; Metazoa; Chordata; Aves; Galliformes; Phasianidae.
AUGCAGAAGAUAAAGUUAUCACAGAAUUAUGUUUCUUUUUCAGAAAGACAAGAAGAUUCUACACCAGAAGUCAUUGCAUUUAAAUCAAAGGAAUGCAAACAAUAUGGCAAUGUAUCGAACAUAGCUUGUUUGGCAAGAACGUUGUACAAGAGCAUCAAUCUCGAUGGGCCCAAGGGUGUCAUUGCUUAUGAUCUGAAGGAACCUAUUCUCACAUCAGAGGGGAUGUACAGUACCUUGAAAGUAGUUGGCAUAAAACCAGACACAGAAGGAACCUGCAAAGCUGUGCACAAGGGGAACAAGACUGUAGCGAGCACAAUCCUGACAGAAGGGAAAGAUGAAGAACUGGCAGCAGAGAAUGCUUGCAACUUUACAGACGCCUUUAAAAAAGAUGUCAAAAUGGAGAAAAUGAACAUGCUGUUCAUGGUUGUUUUGGGUUUGAGGGUCCUGCUGGCAAAAUGCAUCGCCUUCAACAUGCUCAUGAGUAUCUGUUCAUAUUCUGAGGUAGGAAAUACAAUCAUUCAGUCCUUGGGAGCAUAG